UUUUUAACCAAAGCUUUGAGGAAGGGGUUAGUCUGCCCUUUCCUCCAGGUGCCACAGGUGUAGGGUUAAUUAGCAAUCAGUCUCAGGUGCUACAGGACAGGUGAGUGAUCACUUGCGGCUGCUCGUGGUUCAGUGAGAAGCUUGUGGCCCAGUUAUACGGCCUGUUCCUGGGUACAGAAUACUGUAUAGAUGCCCUGCAGCGGGCGUGUUUUAUAAGUGCUGCUCUCCCCACUCAUGAAACGUCACCUCCGAGGAAGCUGCAAUGGGACUCAAUUCCUGCAGGUGGAAAAGUUUCUGCACCUGUCUUUUCUCAUUGCCCCCCGGGCCUCUCCAGUAAGUCGAGUGUCAGGGAUACAUUCCCCUCGCUGCUUCGAUUAUUGACAGUGCGAAUGAUGGAAAGAUCAUCUGGUCUGAGAAGGAUGAGAAGCAGAUACAGAAUUCCCUCUGUUGUUGCUGUGAAGCAUGAACCUACCAACUGUCAGCAUCUUCCAUUACUCAACAUAGAUAUGAUGAAGAACCAGACAAAGUGUGGUGGCCCAACCAACAUUGCCAGACUGCAUAUUCCUGAGGUAGGGCCUUUUAUAUGUUCUACAGUGUCGAUUUUAAGAGUUGGGUUGGGUAACCUUUGUUGGUGAUUUGAUCCUCUAAAGAAGAUAUUUUGAACAUGCACAGGGCUUCCUGAAUGGUGGAACGGGACUGGUUUAAGUGACAUCAAAUGCACAUUUCUGAGAACUUUGCACUGGUUCUGUUCACCUCUAAUGUCCACUCAUAGUAAACUAAUGAGCAGAGAAUAUAGAGAGAGUGGAACUGAUGAACAGUAUGUCCAAGGCUGAAAUUUAUGAGACCUUUAUUUGAGGUCAAAAGUGUUUUUGUAUUUUUGUUAUCCACUUGAAAUGAAUCAUAUCGA
Long non-coding RNA from Xenopus laevis (African clawed frog), 907 nucleotides. RefSeq lists it as uncharacterized. The transcript has 3 exons. NCBI's taxonomy places the organism in Eukaryota, Metazoa, Chordata, Amphibia, Anura, Pipidae. The record is from RefSeq and is a predicted model, not a curated record.